CUCCUUCCUCUCGCCUUCCCUAUAAAUAGUCAUUGCUUCGUCCUCCAUACACUUGGCUCAAAAGCAGAAACCAACCUGCAGUUUCGGCGGCCGCAAAAAUCUUCGGCUUUGAGAUUACGGUGAUACUAUACUUAUUCAUUGGGAAGUAGAAAGUAAAGGAUUGUGCUUAUGGAAGGUCAAGUGCUGAUCUGAAACAGACACAUCAGCACAACACAAUAUCAUAAGCUAAAGAAACCAUCUGCCACUUAUAAUCCCUCCUUCUCAAGAACCCUGCGAGAAAUAGCUAUGGAAUCAAAAUACAAAAGGGAUCGGGCACUUAUCUUCUAAAUUCUGCAUCCUGAAGUGCUCCAGAACGUAGCUCUAUUAAGACCAGAAAGAAACCUUUUGAUGUUUCAAGGUAUGACUGUUCGUAGGAUUAAAGCGUUUUGUUCAGAGAAUUUGAGAAUGUUGUUUAAAUUGUAUGAAUUAUAAAAAAAUAAAGUUGCAGAAAUUUGAUACAAUUUUAAUGUCAAACUAUAUGUCCUCCAGAAUUAGGAGUGUCAAAAAUAAAUUUGAGCAGUAAGUUUGAUU
Long non-coding RNA from Zingiber officinale, 570 nucleotides. RefSeq lists it as uncharacterized. The transcript has 3 exons. Lineage: Eukaryota; Viridiplantae; Streptophyta; Magnoliopsida; Zingiberales; Zingiberaceae. The record is from RefSeq and is a predicted model, not a curated record.